AGAAAUUUAGGUUAAAUAGACCAAGAGCCUUCAAAGCCCUAAGAAAGUUAAACGAUACUUAAUUUCUG
RNAcentral lists this transfer RNA (68 nucleotides) under Propithecus perrieri (Perrier's sifaka). RNAcentral's name for it is "tRNA-Trp". The record is from RNAcentral. Lineage: Eukaryota; Metazoa; Chordata; Mammalia; Primates; Indriidae.